GACGAACGCUGGCGGCGUGCUUAACACAUGCAAGUCGAACGGAAAGGCCCUGCUUUUGUGGGGUGCUCGAGUGGCGAACGGGUGAGUAACACGUGAGUAACCUGCCCUUGACUUUGGGAUAACCUCAGGAAACUGGGGCUAAUACCGGAUAGGAGCUCCUGCUGCAUGGUGGGGGUUGGAAAGUUUCGGCGGUUGGGGAUGGACUCGCGGCUUAUCAGCUUGUUGGUGGGGUAGUGGCUUACCAAGGCUUUGACGGGUAGCCGGCCUGAGAGGGUGACCGGCCACAUUGGGACUGAGAUACGGCCCAGACUCCUACGGGAGGCAGCAGUGGGGAAUAUUGCACAAUGGGCGGAAGCCUGAUGCAGCAACGCCGCGUGCGGGAUGACGGCCUUCGGGUUGUAAACCGCUUUCGCCUGUGACGAAGCGUGAGUGACGGUAAUGGGUAAAGAAGCACCGGCUAACUACGUGCCAGCAGCCGCGGUGAUACGUAGGGUGCGAGCGUUGUCCGGAUUUAUUGGGCGUAAAGGGCUCGUAGGUGGUUGAUCGCGUCGGAAGUGUAAUCUUGGGGCUUAACCCUGAGCGUGCUUUCGAUACGGGUUGACUUGAGGAAGGUAGGGGAGAAUGGAAUUCCUGGUGGAGCGGUGGAAUGCGCAGAUAUCAGGAGGAACACCAGUGGCGAAGGCGGUUCUCUGGGCCUUUCCUGACGCUGAGGAGCGAAAGCGUGGGGAGCGAACAGGCUUAGAUACCCUGGUAGUCCACGCUGUAAACGGUGGGUACUAGGUGUGGGGUCCAUUCCACGGGUUCCGUGCCGUAGCUAACGCUUUAAGUACCCCGCCUGGGGAGUACGGCCGCAAGGCUAAAACUCAAAGGAAUUGACGGGGCCCCGCACAAGCGGCGGAGCAUGCGGAUUAAUUCGAUGCAACGCGUAGAACCUUACCUGGGUUUGACAUGGAUCGGGAGUGCUCAGAGAUGGGUGUGCCUCUUUUGGGGUCGGUUCACAGGUGGUGCAUGCCUGUCGUCAGCUCGUGUCGUGAGAUGUUGGGUUAAGUCCCGCAACGAGCGCAACCCUUGUUCACUGUUGCCAGCACGUUAUGGUGGGGACUCAGUGGAGACCGCCGGGGUCAACUCGGAGGAAGGUGGGGAUGACGUCAAGUCCUCAUGCCCCUUAUGUCCAGGGCUUCACGCAUGCUACAAUGGCUGGUACAGAGAGUGGCGAGCCUGUGAGGGUGAGCGAAUCUCGGAAAGCCGGUCUCAGUUCGGAUUGGGGUCUGCAACUCGACCUCAUGAAGUCGGAGUCGCUAGUAAUCGCAGAUCAGCAACGCUGCGGUGAAUAAGUUCCCGGGGCU
Molecule: ribosomal RNA, 1346 nt
Filed under: uncultured bacterium
Lineage: Bacteria
Description: bacterial SSU rRNA
Rfam family: Bacterial small subunit ribosomal RNA
Source: RNAcentral